GAUGAACGCUAGCGAUAGGCUUGACACAUGCAAGUCGAGGGGCAGCAUAAAUGUAGCAAUACAUUGGUGGCGACCGGCGCACGGGUGAGUAACGCGUAUGCAACCUACCCAUAACAGGGGGAUAACACGGCGAAAGUCGUGCUAAUACCGCAUAACACAGGGGUCCCGCAUGGGAAUAUUUGUUGAAGAUUUAUUGGUUAUGGAUGGGCAUGCGUUCCAUUAGGUAGUUGGUAAGGUAAUGGCUUACCAAGCCAUCGAUGGAUAGGGGUUCUGAGAGGAAGGUCCCCCACACUGGUACUGAGACACGGACCAGACUCCUACGGGAGGCAGCAGUGAGGAAUAUUGGUCAAUGGGCGAGAGCCUGAACCAGCCAAAUCGCGUGAAGGAUGACGGUAUUAUGUAUUGUAAACUUCUUUUAUUAGGGAAUAAAGUGCAGGACGUGUCCUGUUUUGUAUGUACCUAACGAAUAAGCAUCGGCUAACUCCGUGCCAGCAGCCGCGGUAA
Molecule: ribosomal RNA, 504 nt
Filed under: uncultured bacterium
Lineage: Bacteria
Description: partial 16S ribosomal RNA
Rfam family: Bacterial small subunit ribosomal RNA
Source: RNAcentral